This 2875-nucleotide ribosomal RNA is filed under the name Salmonella enterica subsp. enterica serovar Typhimurium str. DT104. Its description in RNAcentral is "bacterial LSU rRNA". It matches the Rfam family "Bacterial large subunit ribosomal RNA". Lineage: Bacteria; Pseudomonadati; Pseudomonadota; Gammaproteobacteria; Enterobacterales; Enterobacteriaceae. The record is from RNAcentral.
CGAAUGGGGAAACCCAGUGUGAUUCGUCACACUAUCAUUAACUGAAUCCAUAGGUUAAUGAGGCGAACCGGGGGAACUGAAACAUCUAAGUACCCCGAGGAAAAGAAAUCAACCGAGAUUCCCCCAGUAGCGGCGAGCGAACGGGGAGGAGCCCAGAGCCUGAAUCAGCAUGUGUGUUAGUGGAAGCGUCUGGAAAGGCGCGCGAUACAGGGUGACAGCCCCGUACACAAAAGCGCAUGUGCUGUGAGCUCGAUGAGUAGGGCGGGACACGUGGUAUCCUGUCUGAAUAUGGGGGGACCAUCCUCCAAGGCUAAAUACUCCUGACUGACCGAUAGUGAACCAGUACCGUGAGGGAAAGGCGAAAAGAACCCCGGCGAGGGGAGUGAAAAAGAACCUGAAACCGUGUACGUACAAGCAGUGGGAGCACCCUUCGGGGUGUGACUGCGUACCUUUUGUAUAAUGGGUCAGCGACUUAUAUUCUGUAGCAAGGUUAACCGUAUAGGGGAGCCGGAGGGAAACCGAGUCUUAACCGGGCGUUAAGUUGCAGGGUAUAGACCCGAAACCCGGUGAUCUAGCCAUGGGCAGGUUGAAGGUUGGGUAACACUAACUGGAGGACCGAACCGACUAAUGUUGAAAAAUUAGCGGAUGACCUGUGGCUGGGGGUGAAAGGCCAAUCAAACCGGGAGAUAGCUGGUUCUCCCCGAAAGCUAUUUAGGUAGCGCCUCGUGAAUUCAUCUCCGGGGGUAGAGCACUGUUUCGGCUAGGGGGCCAUCCCGGCUUACCAACCCGAUGCAAACUGCGAAUACCGGAGAAUGUUAUCACGGGAGACACACGGCGGGUGCUAACGUCCGUCGUGAAGAGGGAAACAACCCAGACCGCCAGCUAAGGUCCCAAAGUCAUGGUUAAGUGGGAAACGAUGUGGGAAGGCCCAGACAGCCAGGAUGUUGGCUUAGAAGCAGCCAUCAUUUAAAGAAAGCGUAAUAGCUCACUGGUCGAGUCGGCCUGCGCGGAAGAUGUAACGGGGCUAAACCAUGCACCGAAGCUGCGGCAGCGAACGUAUCACCCAAGACAACUUUACGGAGUUGACGAUUGACGGAGCGAAGCGACGUCAAAGCGUUCAUUAAAGUCGAGUUGGCUUAGGGAUACGUUCGUUGGGUAGGGGAGCGUUCUGUAAGCCUGUGAAGGUGUGUCGUGAGGCAUGCUGGAGGUAUCAGAAGUGCGAAUGCUGACAUAAGUAACGAUAAAGCGGGUGAAAAGCCCGCUCGCCGGAAGACCAAGGGUUCCUGUCCAACGUUAAUCGGGGCAGGGUGAGUCGACCCCUAAGGCGAGGCCGAAAGGCGUAGUCGAUGGGAAACGGGUUAAUAUUCCCGUACUUGGUGUUACUGCGAAGGGGGGACGGAGAAGGCUAUGUUGGCCGGGCGACGGUUGUCCCGGUUUAAGCGUGUAGGUGUGUGUUCCAGGUAAAUCCGGUUCACUUUAACACUGAGGCGUGACGACGAGGCACUACGGUGCUGAAGCAACAAAUGCCCUGCUUCCAGGAAAAGCCUCUAAGCAUCAGGUAACACGAAAUCGUACCCCAAACCGACACAGGUGGUCAGGUAGAGAAUACCAAGGCGCUUGAGAGAACUCGGGUGAAGGAACUAGGCAAAAUGGUGCCGUAACUUCGGGAGAAGGCACGCUGACACGUAGGUGAAGUGAUUUACUCAUGGAGCUGAAGUCAGUCGAAGAUACCAGCUGGCUGCAACUGUUUAUUAAAAACACAGCACUGUGCAAACACGAAAGUGGACGUAUACGGUGUGACGCCUGCCCGGUGCCGGAAGGUUAAUUGAUGGGGUCAGCGUAAGCGAAGCUCCUGAUCGAAGCCCCGGUAAACGGCGGCCGUAACUAUAACGGUCCUAAGGUAGCGAAAUUCCUUGUCGGGUAAGUUCCGACCUGCACGAAUGGCGUAAUGAUGGCCAGGCUGUCUCCACCCGAGACUCAGUGAAAUUGAACUCGCUGUGAAGAUGCAGUGUACCCGCGGCAAGACGGAAAGACCCCGUGAACCUUUACUAUAGCUUGACACUGAACAUUGAGCCUUGAUGUGUAGGAUAGGUGGGAGGCUUUGAAGUGUGGACGCCAGUCUGCAUGGAGCCGACCUUGAAAUACCACCCUUUAAUGUUUGAUGUUCUAACGUGGACCCGUAAUCCGGGUUGCGGACAGUGUCUGGUGGGUAGUUUGACUGGGGCGGUCUCCUCCUAAAGAGUAACGGAGGAGCACGAAGGUUGGCUAAUCCUGGUCGGACAUCAGGAGGUUAGUGCAAUGGCAUAAGCCAGCUUGACUGCGAGCGUGACGGCGCGAGCAGGUGCGAAAGCAGGUCAUAGUGAUCCGGUGGUUCUGAAUGGAAGGGCCAUCGCUCAACGGAUAAAAGGUACUCCGGGGAUAACAGGCUGAUACCGCCCAAGAGUUCAUAUCGACGGCGGUGUUUGGCACCUCGAUGUCGGCUCAUCACAUCCUGGGGCUGAAGUAGGUCCCAAGGGUAUGGCUGUUCGCCAUUUAAAGUGGUACGCGAGCUGGGUUUAGAACGUCGUGAGACAGUUCGGUCCCUAUCUGCCGUGGGCGCUGGAGAACUGAGGGGGGCUGCUCCUAGUACGAGAGGACCGGAGUGGACGCAUCACUGGUGUUCGGGUUGUCAUGCCAAUGGCACUGCCCGGUAGCUAAAUGCGGAAGAGAUAAGUGCUGAAAGCAUCUAAGCACGAAACUUGCCCCGAGAUGAGUUCUCCCUGAGACUUAGAGUCUCCUGAAGGAACGUUGAAGACGACGACGUUGAUAGGCCGGGUGUGUAAGCGCAGCGAUGCGUUGAGCUAACCGGUACUAAUGAACCGUGAGGCUUAACCUU